AUUUAGCAUUAAUUGCAGAAAUUGUUUAUGUAUGAUUUGUGCAUUAUUGUUUAAUUUAAUUAAUAAAUUGCUAACACACAAAAAUAUCAUCUGACAUUAAUUUGAACAAUCGUAUGAAGCGUUAAAACACUACGAAUAGCUCGGGGACUCCCAGCUUUUGAUUAACGAAAUGGCUAAGCACACAUUGUGAAAUAUUUCGUCAGGAAUAGUACUUAUCGAUCUUCUUUUGGCCGUUCAAAUGGAAACAAUACUACAAAGAACUUAAGCAUUUUGGCAUCUUGCUAAUUAAGAAAAUAUGUACAUACAUACACAUAUAUUUUAUAGGGUCGGAAACGUUUUCUUACGUGAGGAACGCACAUUUCCCGACCAUACAAAAUACCCGAUUUACUCUUCAAGUACCGUGUAUAAUUAGCAUUAACCCAAAGCGAAAAAGUUGGCGAAAAAUUGUGCUUUAUUUUGGCUUUGUGUCGUGCCUUUCUUCGCUGAACGAAAUUGCAACAAACAUGCAAAUAUAUAGUUUUAAUAAAGUCCUGGAGCAGCAGGACCGUUCGCUCCCUCUCUCCCUCUCUCUAUGUCGCACUGCAAGCAACUCUACAAAAAUACAAAAAAAAGGCAGAAAUAGUAAGGGUAUUUUUGGUAGUUUUGGUUUUAACACACUUUUCAGAUCGAUGAAAAAUGUUCAAAGCUCAAUGAGGCGUUUCGGCACAUCCAAAUGAUGUAACGAAAGACUUUUUUAGAGAAACACUAAUACUUAUAAGAAAUUGUAUAGAGAAUUAUCCUUAUUCUUUGCAUUGCAAACCUUUCCUCAAAGUCUGAGGAUCUUUUUCUAUGGUAACAGACAAGUAAAAACUUUCCACAAGGCAUUUGACAAGGUAAAAGUUGCCGUUGCUUUCGCAGGUUGUUUUUGUUACAGUUUUGUUGUUAAUUUGUUGACAGAUGUGCGGGGCAGGGAGAUGGCUGUGGAGCUGUGGACGGGGGCGUCUGGCUGGGACGGCACUGCUAUGACAUAAAGAACAUUGGGGCAGGGGAUAUGAAAAAUGUGAAUUUGAAAUUUAUGUUCCAACAAAACACUUUUACGUAAAUUCCGUGUUUUUGCUACUUUUUUAUUCACCGUAUCCCCCGUGUCGUCAAUGAGCCCAAUUUAUAUGCAAUUUGUUUGGCAAAAAGAUGGAUAGAGAGAUAACUGGAGAGGAGAUAAAGCAAGAGACAGGGUAAAAAAAACAUACCAUUCUGUUAAAAAAAUGGAUGUGAUAUCUGAUUUGUAUAUAUCAUUUAAUUUCCACUGCUUUCAGUACAAAAAAUAUUAAGAUAUGUAUAGAUAUGUAGAUACAUUCAUAUGUAUGUACAUAUGUUUUGACAUAUGACACUCACCAGGAAUUUCAUCGGUUGAUCUCUAAUUAUAAAAAAGUAAUUAUUACCAGUUGGAAAAGAUGCACCCGGUACUCAAAGAGUAAAUAGGGUAUAUUGUAUGAGUGGGGAAAACACGCACAAGGAAGCGUUUCCGACCCCACAAAGUUUAUAUAUUCUUGAUCAGAAUCAAUAGCCGAGUCGAUUUAGGCAUGUCUGUCUGUCAGUCCGUCUGUCUGUCCGUCCGUCUGUCCGUCCGUCUGUCUGUCCGUCAUUGUGAGCGCCUAGUACUCAGAGACCAUAAGAGAUGCUCACACUGUUACGAAAUCAAAAUUUCAAAAAUAUUCUUCGCCUCUUUCUGCCCACACAAAGGGCGAAAGUCUCCUCAAUUUUGAAAAUAAAAGAUAAGUACCUCCAUUCUGUAGGGAAAGACCAUAUCUAUCAGAUUACCGAAUUGGGAUCCGAUUGGAUCCUUAUUAUAGCCAGAAGGAAGAUGUGGUACUGAGUACCUGGUAUAAAAGUUGUGAAGUAUGAAGUCUGACAGGAAUUUUUCUUCUUUUUUUUACACAACUCAAGUAUCUUACAUAUGGUUGUAAU
RNAcentral lists this long non-coding RNA (1944 nucleotides) under Drosophila guanche. Lineage: Eukaryota; Metazoa; Arthropoda; Insecta; Diptera; Drosophilidae. The record is from RNAcentral.